RNAcentral lists this long non-coding RNA (467 nucleotides) under Gossypium barbadense (sea-island cotton). RNAcentral describes it as "long non-coding RNA (GBAR_LNC003902)". The record is from RNAcentral. Lineage: Eukaryota; Viridiplantae; Streptophyta; Magnoliopsida; Malvales; Malvaceae.
AUUCCUGUGGUCUUUCUGAUUCAUCUUAAUAUUAACAGACCUGCCUCAACAAUUCUAUACAAAUUUGCUUGUUGGGGUGUCCUUUUCUGCUGAUGCAGCUUCAUCUAAUUCUUAUAUGGUCAUCAGAAUUUGAUGGCAAAUUGAACCCAAUGUAUUGAUUGUCAAUUUAGGAAUGAUUUCAUAAUGGCAUAUAAGAGUUGGCUGUAUGAUAUGCACAAAGCAUUUUAUUUGAUAAGCGUUUGUGAUGGGAACCAGCUCCUUAAAUUCAAAUCUGGUGGUGUUUAAAGCCCUAAUCAUAAAAACAAGACAUGGUUGAGGGUUACGCUCACCACUACAUUUUUAAUCCUUUGCUUCUUAAUUUUCUCAUAUGUGAGAGUGUUUGUUGGGUACGCAUACAUAUAGGAUGUAUAUAUAUUGGAUUUUUCCUAAUAGUUUUGGCAAUAAAAAUCUUUUAAAACAGUGUCCGG